UCCAUUCACUCUCAUCCUUUCUCUCUUUAGGACCGGUCGCUUGUACCGCAAGUAGUGACGAAUACUGGUGACCUUUUCCUAUUCAAUAGAAUCGAUAGGUUUUGAAUUGAAUACAAGAGAACCGUUC
Molecule: non-coding RNA, 127 nt
Organism: Caenorhabditis elegans
Lineage: Eukaryota; Metazoa; Nematoda; Chromadorea; Rhabditida; Rhabditidae
Source: Ensembl